Molecule: ribosomal RNA, 253 nt
Filed under: uncultured bacterium
Lineage: Bacteria
Description: partial 16S ribosomal RNA
Rfam family: Bacterial small subunit ribosomal RNA
Source: RNAcentral
UACAGAGGUCUCAAGCGUUGUUCGGAUUCAUUGGGCGUAAAGGGUGCGUAGGUGGCGCCGUAAGUCAGGUGUGAAAUUUCGGAGCUCAACUCCGAAACUGCAUUUGAUACUGCGGUGCUUGAGGACUGGAGAGGAGACUGGAAUUCACGGUGUAGCAGUGAAAUGCGUAGAUAUCGUGAGGAAGACCAGUGGCGAAGGCGGGUCUCUGGGCCGAUACUGACGCUGAGGAGCGAAAGCGUGGGGAGCGAACAGG